GUCCACGCCGUAAACGAUGAGUGCUAGCCGUCAGCAGGCUUGCCUGUUGGUGGCGCAGCUAACGCAUUAAGCACUCCGCCUGGGGAGUACGGUCGCAAGAUUAAAAACUCAAAGGAAUUGACGGGGGCCCGCACAAGCGGUGGAGCAUGUGGUUUAAUUCGAAGCAACGCGAAGAACCUUACCAGCCCUUGACAUGCCGUGCUACCUGCAGAGAUGCAGGGUUCCCUUCGGGGACGCGGACACAGGUGCUGCAUGGCUGUCGU
This 263-nucleotide ribosomal RNA is filed under the name uncultured bacterium. RNAcentral's name for it is "partial 16S ribosomal RNA". It matches the Rfam family "Bacterial small subunit ribosomal RNA", at positions 793 to 1055 of the family's 1533-position model. The record is from RNAcentral.